RNAcentral lists this unclassified non-coding RNA (469 nucleotides) under Hevea brasiliensis (rubber tree). Lineage: Eukaryota; Viridiplantae; Streptophyta; Magnoliopsida; Malpighiales; Euphorbiaceae. The record is from RNAcentral.
AUUUUUUUUUUAAAAAAAAUUAUUCAAGUAUUUUUCAUUUUUUGUAUUUUCUUUAUUGAGAAACAAUUUUCUUGGAUUAUCGCCUUGAUCUAGAAGAACUUAUUAACUUAUUUGCAAAGAUAGCUUAUAUUAUUUUCUAUCCAAAGAUGAAAAACAUACAAAAAAUGAGGGGGAGAAGGGUAUUGGUACAUAGAGGAAGAGACAUGGUGAAAGAGAAAUAAAGGAGAGAGGAUCAAGACAAUUUAGGUGUAAAAAAAUAAACAGAUGGACUAAAAAGUUUAUAGAACUAAAUUACAAAGAUUAAUUAAUUUGUUUUUGAAAAUAUAGGGAUGAACUAAUUAUUUUCACUAAAAUAGAGAGACUAAAUUGUAGUUUGAUUGACAGAAAAAAUUGAUGGAAGAACUAAUCAGUUUAGGACUAAAAAUAGAGAAUUAAAUAGUGUAUUUUUUAAAAUAAAAAGACUAAAUAA